CUAGGCUAUUUUAUACUAACUAACUAGUAUUUUGAUUUACUUUGCCUGACUGUGGACAACUGAUAGGUCAGGCGGUCUCAUGGCGUUUGUGUGUGAGGGACAGGUAUAUUGUUCCCAGAUCCAGUUUUGAAAAUAAGGACAGUUAUACACAGAUACAAAAGGCUAGGUUAUUUUUCAUUGAAUGCAAUGAAAUUUGUCAAGUAGCACAUAAUAUGAAAUUUUGUGUGGCCGUCAAGGCGACACAUGUGGUGGUUAUGGAGAUUAAAUGUCCCCAUUCUGGAAAAAAGGAAGGAAAGAAAUUGAUUGCCGAAUAUCCAAAAAAUACAUUGUCUAAUAUACAUUUCAUUGUUGGUAGCAGUACCUGCGUGAGCAAUUUGUUGGAGAUAUCCGUCAGCCAUCCAUCC
This 404-nucleotide small RNA is filed under the name Histoplasma capsulatum. RNAcentral describes it as "hypothetical RNA". RNAcentral also lists the same sequence under 1 other name. The record is from RNAcentral. Lineage: Eukaryota; Fungi; Ascomycota; Eurotiomycetes; Onygenales; Ajellomycetaceae.